UUAAAUUAGUAAGGGCGCAUGGCGGAUGCCUUGGCACUAGAAGCUGAAGAAGGACGUGACGAACGACGAUACGCUUCGGGGAGCUGUACGUAAGCUUUGAUCCGGAGAUUUCCGAAUGGGGGAACCCAGCAGUAGUAACUUACUGUUAUCCUAACGUGAAUACAUAGCGUUAGAGAGAGUAACCUGGCGAACUGAAACAUCUUAGUAACCAGAGGAAAAGAAAGAAAAAUCGAUUCCCUUAGUAGUGGCGAGCGAAAAGGGAGGAGCCCAAACCAAUCCUACGGGAUUGGGGUUGUAGGACUUCCGUAUAGGAGUAAGAAAAUCGAUGUAUAGCUGAAUCUGAUGGAAAUCAGAACCAUAGUAGGUGAAAGUCCUGUAAGCGAAAUAUAACGAUCUCCUGGAAGUAUCCUGAGUAGGACGGGACACGUGGAACCCUGUCUGAAUCAACGGAGACCAUUCCGUAAGGCUAAAUACUCUCUAGUGACCGAUAGUGAACAAGUACCGAGAGGGAAAGGUGAAAAGAACCCCGGGAGGGGAGUGAAAUAGAAAACUGAAACCAUGUGCUUACAAAAAGUCAAAGCCCAUUAAAGGGUGAUGGCGUGCCUUUUGCAGAAUGAACCGGCGAGUUAAUGUUGCAUGCGAGGUUAAGUUGAAGAGACGGAGCCAAAGCGAAAGCGAGUCUGAAUAGGGCGAAUGAGUAUGCAGUAUUAGACCCGAAACCGAGUGAUCUAGCCAUGAGCAGGUUGAAGUUUUGGUAACACAAAAUGGAGGACCGAACCGACGUACCCGGAAACGUGCGCGGAUGACUUGUGGCUAGCGGUGAAAUUCCAAACGAACUCGGAUAUAGCUGGUUCUCCCCGAAAUAGGUUUAGGCCUAGCCUUGAGGUUAAGUACCGUGGAGGUAGAGCACUGAAUAUAUGAUGGCCCCAUCUAGGGGUACUGAAUGUAAUCAAACUCCGAAUGCCAUGGCUACAUACUCAGGAGUCAGCGUGUGGGUGAUAACGUCCAUACGCGAAAGGAAAAGAGUCCAAGAUCGCCGAUUAAGGUCCCAAAAUUUGUGCUAAGUGGGAAAGGAUGUGGAGUUGUCAAAACAGCUAGGAGGUUGGCUUAGAAGCAGCCAUCCUUUAAAGAGUGCGUAAUAGCUCACUAGUCGAGUGACACUGCGCCGAAGAUGUACCGGGGCUAAGCACAAUACCGAAAUCGCGGAUUCAUACGUAAGUAUGAGUGGUAGGGGAGCGUUCCAAGGGCGUCGAAGGUUGACCGUGAGGACAGCUGGAGCGCUUGGAAGUGAGAAUGCCGGUGUGAGUAGCGCAAGAUGGGUGAGAAUCCCAUCCACCGAUUGACUAAGGGUUCCUGGGGCAGGUUCGUCCUCCCAGGGUUAGUCGGGUCCUAAGACGAGGCCGAAAGGCGUAGCCGAUGGACAACAGGUUGAUAUUCCUGUACUAUCUAUAUGACUGAUGGAGUGACGGAGAAGGCUAGGGAGAGCCAGUUAAUGGAUUCUGGUCUAAGCACAAAGGUUUAUAAUUAGGGAAAUCCGGUUAUAGAUAAGCUGAAGUGUGAUGGUGAAGCUACUAAGUAGCGAAAUCUCUUGACGCCAAGCUUCCAAGAAAAGCUUCUAGGGCUAAUCAUAUAGGUACCCGUACCCAGAACCGACACAGGUGGUCAAGGAGAGUAUCCUAAGGUGAGCGAGAGAACCAUGGUUAAGGAACUCGGCAAAAUAACCCCGUAACUUCGGAAUAAGGGGUGGUCGCUAGACGACCGACACUAAAGACGCCCAGGCAACUGUUUACCAAAAACAUAGGUCUCUGCUAAGUCGAAAGACGAUGUAUAGGGGCUGACACCUGCCCAGUGCUGGAAGGUUAAGAGGAGUGCUUAGAAUAGACGUAAGUCGAUGAUUCGAAGGUACGAAUUGAAGCCCCAGUGAACGGCGGCCGUAACUAUAACGGUCCUAAGGUAGCGAAAUUCCUUGUCGGGU
Molecule: ribosomal RNA, 1975 nt
Filed under: human gut metagenome
Description: bacterial LSU rRNA
Rfam family: Bacterial large subunit ribosomal RNA
Source: RNAcentral